CCUCUGCCCUAUGAUUUAUAAAUGGCGGCCAUAGCGUGACGGUAGUAAAGUAGCAUGGUGAUUUGUUAUUUUAUUGGUUUCUGGUAUGAAUGGGGGUUUCAUGGAUUAUUUUUUUAUUUUUUUUUUGAAUUAUUAUUUAUCUUUAAAAAUAAAGGUUUAAAAUAGUACAAAGAUAAGUCUUCGGAAACUUUUUUAUUUUUUAAUUUUCUUGGGGGUGGAUUUUAAAAAAUUUUUUUAUCUAAACUUAAAUUUUUAAGUUACUCCGGAGUUAACAGAGUAAAUAGGUCUUUAUACAGGUGUUAUGUUAAUGACUAUGCUACAUCGAUGUUGUAUAUUUAUUUUUAAUGGUAGGAGAAUUUAUUGUAAUUAAGACUGUUCUUCUUUUAUAAAAAUAAAACUUGAUAUUAGUUUAGUUCGUCGUGAGACAGAGCGGUUUAUCUUGACUAUUUUUUUAUAUUAAGGGUGCUAGUACGAAAGGAAGG
RNAcentral lists this ribosomal RNA (482 nucleotides) under Crassicauda sp. Ningbo-2019. RNAcentral describes it as "16S ribosomal RNA". The record is from RNAcentral. Lineage: Eukaryota; Metazoa; Nematoda; Chromadorea; Rhabditida; Tetrameridae.